UGAUGUCUGAGAUCUUGUUGCGUCGCC
Molecule: non-coding RNA, 27 nt
Filed under: Bombyx mori (domestic silkworm)
Lineage: Eukaryota; Metazoa; Arthropoda; Insecta; Lepidoptera; Bombycidae
Source: RNAcentral